Molecule: long non-coding RNA, 217 nt
Filed under: Brassica rapa (field mustard)
Lineage: Eukaryota; Viridiplantae; Streptophyta; Magnoliopsida; Brassicales; Brassicaceae
Description: long non-coding RNA (BRAP_LNC000829)
Source: RNAcentral
AAAAUAUAAGAAAUAGAAAUAAACAUUUUAAAAAAUGAAAAAAGUAUAUUAAGAUUUAAGCAUCUAUCUUAAAAUGUACUUCUAUCUUAAAAUGGUAGUAAAUUAUAUAAAAAAUGGAAAUACCACAUUAAACAAAAAAAAUGUAUAGUGUUACAUCAAGAAAGUCCCUAUAAAAUUUAUUAUUCCAUCCACAUCAACCUCACACUAUUAAGGAAAA